Vicia faba (fava bean) is the source of this 258-nucleotide non-coding RNA. The record is from the annotation of a GenBank genome assembly. Lineage: Eukaryota; Viridiplantae; Streptophyta; Magnoliopsida; Fabales; Fabaceae.
AUGGCUACUUCAACUAAUUCAAGAGAGUUUGUCAUCUUGAUUAUUAUUAUUAUUAUUAUGACAUUGCUUGUAGCGAAACCAGAGGCAAGACUUGUGCCUAUGUUGUUCUCAACAAAGGACAAGGUGGUUCAUGUCAAAUUUGGAUUGCGUGAAGCAAUUAACGAUGUCAAAAAUAGUGAGUGGCUAAGGAAGAGGGCAAUGCUAGGUGGAAGGCCUGAGAGAGUGUCUCCUGGAGGGCCAGAUGCUCAACAUCACUAG